Molecule: ribosomal RNA, 495 nt
Filed under: uncultured bacterium
Lineage: Bacteria
Description: partial 16S ribosomal RNA
Rfam family: Bacterial small subunit ribosomal RNA
Source: RNAcentral
GAAGAAAGCGGGAGGCGCGCCUAAUACAUGCAAGUCGAACGCUGAAGGAGGAGCUUGCGCUUCUGGAUGAGUUGCGAACGGGUGAGUAACGCGUAGGUAACCUGCCUGGUAGCGGGGGAUAACUAUUGGAAACGAUAGCUAAUACCGCAUAAGAGUAGAUGUUGCAUGACAUUUACUUAAAAGGUGCAAUUUCAUCACUACCAGAUGGACCUGCGUUGUAUUAGCUAGUUGGUGGGGUAACGGCUUACCAAGGCGACGAUACAUAGCCGACCUGAGAGGGUGAUCGGCCACACUGGGACGGAGACACGGCCCAGGCGACUACGGGAGGCAGCAGUCGGGAAUCUUCGGCAAUGGAGGGAAGUCUGACCGAGCAACGCCGAGUGAGUGAAGAAGGGUUUCGGAUCGUAAAGCUCUGUUGUAAGAGAAGAACGAGUGUGAGAGUGGAAAGUUCACACUGUGACGGUAUCUUAACAGAAAGGGACGGCUAACUACGUG